This 65-nucleotide transfer RNA is filed under the name Galerucella birmanica (water lily leaf beetle). Its description in RNAcentral is "tRNA-Tyr". The record is from RNAcentral. Lineage: Eukaryota; Metazoa; Arthropoda; Insecta; Coleoptera; Chrysomelidae.
GGUAAAAUGGCUGAGUCCAGGCAAUAAAUUGUAAAUUUAUUUACGAAUAAUGUAUUCUUUUACCA